RNAcentral lists this transfer RNA (92 nucleotides) under Candidatus Omnitrophota bacterium. Its description in RNAcentral is "tRNA-Ser". It matches the Rfam family "tRNA". From Rfam's summary of the family: Transfer RNA (tRNA) molecules are approximately 80 nucleotides in length. Their secondary structure includes four short double-helical elements and three loops (D, anti-codon, and T loops). Lineage: Bacteria; Pseudomonadati; Candidatus Omnitrophota. The record is from RNAcentral.
GGAGAGGUGGCCGAGUGGUUGAAGGCGCACGCCCGGAAAGCGUGUGGCGGUCGAAAGGCUGCUCCAGGGUUCGAAUCCCUGCCUCUCCGCCA